CCUACGAGAGGCAGCAGUGGGGAAUAUUGCACAAUGGGGGAAACCCUGAUGCAUCGACGCCGCGUGAGUGACGCAGUAUUUCGGUAUGUAAAGCUCUGUCAGCAGGGAAUAAAAUGCCGGUACCUGACCAAGAAGCCCCGGCUAACUACGUGCCAGCAGCCGCGGUAAUACGUAGGGGGCAAGCGUUAUCCGGAUUUACUGGGUGUAAAGGGAGCGUAGACGGCAGGGCAAGUCUGGAGUGAAAGGCGGGGGCUCAACCCCCGGACUGCUCUGGAAACUGCCAGGCUGGAGUGCAGGAGAGGUAAGUGGAAUUCCUGGUGUAGCGGUGAAAUGCGUAGAUAUUAGGAGGAACACCAGUGGCGAAGGCGGCUUACUGGACUGUAACUGACGUUGAGGCUCGAAAGCGUGGGGAGCAAACAGGAUUAGAUACCCCAGUAGUC
RNAcentral lists this ribosomal RNA (440 nucleotides) under uncultured bacterium. Its description in RNAcentral is "partial 16S ribosomal RNA". It matches the Rfam family "Bacterial small subunit ribosomal RNA", at positions 338 to 795 of the family's 1533-position model. The record is from RNAcentral.